Scylla paramamosain (green mud crab) is the source of this 2082-nucleotide long non-coding RNA. RefSeq lists it as uncharacterized. The transcript has 6 exons. NCBI's taxonomy places the organism in Eukaryota, Metazoa, Arthropoda, Malacostraca, Decapoda, Portunidae. The record is from RefSeq and is a predicted model, not a curated record.
AGAAGAGGAGGAGGAGGACACAAAAAACAAGGUAACGAUGGUAAAGGAGGAGGGAGGAGAGGAGGAGGAUGAGGAGGUGGAAGGGGAGGAAGGGCCGAUGGGUAGACACAAACCUAUCUCGUCAUUUGCUCUGAAGGCGUGCACGGGAGAGGCCAUGGGUGUGCGUGCGUGGGUGUGCAUGUUUGUGGGCGCGUUUUCAUCCUCCAGUCUCUCCUUUUGCCUGGUAGAGUGUGGUUAUGAGGCAUACUGGGACCAUACUGAUAGCAACAGCAGCUAAGGUCCACCCACAGGCUACAGAGGGAGGAGAGAGUGUGUGGAGAAGCUUGCAAGAAGAACAUCACUCCAUUGUACCAGGUGAGGGUGAGGUCAGACCUACACCAGGGUCAAGGAGACGCCUCCACUGGGGGAAGAUGUAGUAGAGCAUCCCAGUGGUGGCACCCGGCAGCAUGGCACCCCGCACCAGUAGCGUCACCAGCACCACGUAGGGGAACAGCGCCGUGAAGUAUACCACCUGGGGAGGCACAGGUUAGGCACCAUCCUCCACACCUCCACACUGCCAGACGAGGAGAACUGCCCCAUCACCAGCUCCAGGAAAUAGAGCGGCUGUGUGAUGGAAAACAGGAGAAAAGUAAGACAAGGAAGGUUGUAGCAGCAUAGUACAUCAUUCACACACACACACACACACACACACACACACACACACACACACACACACACACACACACACACACACACACACACACACACAUCUACAAACCCUGCCAAUGAAAAGGAGGACCAGCAGGUAGGGGAUGAGGAAGGCGCCCCCACCAUUCUCAAAGGCAGUCGUGGGGAACCUCCAGACAUUGCCCAGGCCAACAGACGUGGUGAUGCAGGCAAGGAGGAACUCAGUAGGGGUUGACCACUGCUGUCGCUCCUCCUGUGUGUCCUGACAGCAAGUGAUGAGGAAGCAAAACGUGAACACAUCUUACUAACUUCUACAAACCAACAAGACUUCUACAAACCACCAAGACUUCUAAGUGGCUGCAAGAAAGAUCUUUCCACAAAUGCAUGGAGAUUAAUUAAUUUUGGAUACACACAGCUUUGGUGGCAGAAAGAUGCUGUGGUAAAUAAAGCAAUCAUCCCAUCCACUACACUGGGCCACACUUGCCUCACAUCACCAAGACCAACAAAAGUACAUCUGCUGGUCACUGUUGCUCCUCAAAACUCUCCAGGGCAUCUGUCUGUCAGGCCCAUGAACACCAAGACCAACAAGAGUACAUCUGCUGGUCACUGUUGCUCCUCAAAACCCUCCAGGGCAUCUGUCAGUCAGGCACAUGAAUUUUUGCUGUUUGGGGUGAGGAGUACAUGGCUGCAGACAUAACAGAGGAAGGGUGUGUGAUGGAGAUAAAAAAUGGAUGUGUGGUAGGCAGAGAGAGAUACAGAAGGCUAGAGAGAGAGGGAUUAUACAUAAUAGAAACCAACUGAAACAGGAAGGUUGUAUAGAUAGGACCAAGGAGAUGGAGGUCAUAAAAUCAUCAUGUAAAGGAAGUAAAAAGAAAAAGAAAAAAAUGUGAGAGAGAGAGAGAGAGAGAGAGAGAGAGAGAGAGAGAGAGAGAGAGAGAGAGAGAGAGAGAGAGAGAGAGAGAGAGAGAGAGAGAGAGAGAGAGAGAGGAAGGAAGGAAGGUUCUAAUGUGUGACCACUUGUGAAGAAUUAUUAGGAGGGAGUGGGAGGGAGGAACAGGUAUGCAGUGGUAACUGUGAGUGUUGAUAUAAUCACAAUCCAUCAAGCAGAUGUAGGAUACAGUAGUCAUUGAGUGUUAGGGGGGGGGAGAGAGAGAGAGAGAGAGAGAGAGAGAGAGAGAGAGAGAGAGAGAGAGAGAGAGAGAGAGAGAGAGAGAGAGAGAGAGAGAGAGAGAGAGAGAGAGAAAAGCUAUGAAGAUUUUAGUGGUGAUAAUGUGUUGAGGGAGAGACUGGGAAGUGACUGGUUCAUAAACAUACUGUGGAUGACAUACUGUGGGUCUGUGGAGAGAGAGAGAGAGAGAGAGAGAGAGAGAGAGAGAGAGAGAGAGAGAGAGAGAGAGAGAGAGAGAGAGAGAGAGA